This 3512-nucleotide unclassified non-coding RNA is filed under the name Hevea brasiliensis (rubber tree). The record is from RNAcentral. Lineage: Eukaryota; Viridiplantae; Streptophyta; Magnoliopsida; Malpighiales; Euphorbiaceae.
AAAGGGCGGUAAAUAUUUGAUCAGAGCUACUUUCAUGUAUGGAAAUUAUGAUGGUCAAAACCAAGCACCACAGUUUGAUAUCCAUCUAGGAUCUAGCAAGUGGGAUACAGUUGAAACAAUUAACGCAACCAUGAUUAUUUCAAAGGAGAUCAUACAUGUGACUACCAUGAACGAUUUACUCGUCUGCCUAGCAAACACUGGCUCUGGGACGCCUUUCAUAUCAGCUUUAGAAUUAAGGCCUCUAAAGAAUGCGUCGUACAAAACUGAAUCAGGAUCAUUAGUACUCUUCACUCGAUUAGAUGUUGGUUCAACAACAAAUCAAACUGUUAGGUGAGCAGUUCAAACCUGAAAACUGCAUGCAAUUAAUGCUGUUAGUUACAACUGAAUAAGUUUCUUGCCUUCAGGUAUGCAGACGAUGUUUACGACCGCACCUGGACUCCUUAUCAUUUCUUUAAGUGGGCAGAGAUAAAUACCUCACAAACCAUUGAUUCACAAGCUCAAAAUAUUUACCAGCCACCAUCGGUUGUCAUGAGCACUGCUGCCACACCUGCAAAUGCUAAUGAGAACAUGACACUCUCUAUAAACAUGGAAGAUAGUACUCUCAAAUUUUUUGUCUACAUGCACUUCUCUGAAAUUUUAAAACUCAAAGCCAACCAGUCCAGAGAAUUCAACAUUUCUUUUAAUGGAGCAUACAGGGUUGGACCUGUAGUUCCUCAGUACUUGUACACAACGACAGCAUAUAGUCUAUCAGCACCGACUGCAGGAAAAUAUAAGUUUUCACUCCAUAAAACAGAACGUUCAACGCUUCCACCCCUUCUGAAUGCAAUUGAGAUUUAUUAUGUGCUUCAACUCUCGCAGUCCCAAUCAAACCAAGAAGAUGUUGAUGCCAUUACGAAUAUCAAGUCAUCAUAUGGAAUAAAGAGAAACUGGCAAGGAGAUCCAUGCACCCCUCAAGGGUACUUGUGGGAAGGUCUCAGUUGCAGCUACAGCGACAAUGAUAUGCCUAGGAUCAUAUCCUUGAACUUAUCCUCAAGUGGAUUGACUAGCGAAAUACCUCCUGCUAUAUCCAAUCUCAAACUCUUAGAAUCUCUAGACCUAUCAAAUAAUAGUUUGACAGGAUCAGUGCCAGAUUUUCUUUCUCAGAUGUCAUCCUUGAAAUUCCUGAAUUUGACGGGAAAUAAACUCAGUGGUUCGGUUCCAACUUCACUCAUUGAAAGGUCAAAGCAGAAUUUGCUAGUGUUAAGUGUUGGUGGAAAUCCAAAUCUAUGUGCAUCAAUUUCAUGCAAAAGGGACAAGAAGAACAACUUGGUUGUUCCAGUAGUGGCAUCGGUUGCUGGAGUGGUCAUUGUCAUAAGUGCAUUAGCUAUUUUAUUCUGCGGUCUUAAAAGAAGAAAACAAAAAGUAUUACAAGCUAGAGAAGAGGCUGCCAAAACCAGCAACACAUACAAGUCACUGAAAUCAAAAGGACGACACUUCACAUACUCUGAGGUCCUGAAAGUUACCAACAACUUAGAAAGGGUUCUUGGUAAGGGAGGAUUUGGAACAGUUUACCAUGGCUACUUAAGCGAUGAUACCCAAGUUGCAGUCAAAAUGCUUUCUCCAACAUCAGGUCAUGGCUCAACUCAAUUUCGAACUGAGGCUCAUCUCUUGAUGAGAGUUCAUCACAGGAAUUUAGCUUCAUUUAUUGGUUAUUGCAAUGAAAGCGGAAACAUUGGGAUUGUCUAUGAAUACAUGGCCUGUGGAAAUUUAGAACACUAUUUAUCAGAUAAAACAGUAGAGGUUCUGAGUUGGAAAGAGAGACUGCAAAUUGCACUGGAUGCAGCACAAGGGCUAGAGUAUUUGCACCAUGGUUGCAAACCCCCUAUAAUUCACAGAGAUGUGAAAAGCGCCAACAUUUUGUUGAAUGACAAUUUGCAGGCCAAGAUAGCUGAUUUUGGGUGCUCAAAAAUUUUCCCAUCUGAAAGUAGGAGUCAUUUGUCAACCGGAGUUGUUGGCACCGUCGGUUACCUUGAUCCAGAGUAAGUCGCUGCAUAUGUCUAUAAGUUCGAUUUUUAGUGAUGGCACAGGACUUGAUUUCUAUCUUCUUUUUCUUGGUUUCUGUAGGUAUUAUUACUCAGCCAGCAGGCUAACUGAGAAAAGCGAUGUUUACAGCUUUGGAAUAGUUCUUCUAGAGCUAAUCACAGGCCAACCUGCAGUAAUAAAAAACCAUGAUCAGAACAUUCAUAUUGUUCAUUGGGUAAGUCCUUACAUCGAAAGAGGUGAUAUAAGAAAUGCUGUUGAUCGAAGACUACAAGGAAAUUUUGAUACCAAUUCUGUUUGGAAAUUCUUGGAAAUAGCAAUGUCAUGUGUACCAUCAAUUUCCAUUCAAAGGCCAACUAUGAACCACAUAGUUGCAGAAUUAAAGGAGUGUUUGGAAACAGAAAUUGCUCGAGAACAGAAUUGCAGAAUGGGGGGACAAACAACGAGAUUAAGCAAUUCGUUUGAAAUCAUUACUGUGGAUCCUGAAACUCAAGUGGGUCCAGAAGCAAGGUAGAACUGAACGAGGGUUUCACAAGUGUGCAGUAUAAUGUACUCAUGUCUCUAGUUUUACAUAUAUAAUUUUUUUUUUUUAAUUGAGUGGGUCUAUUGACCCCACUCAUUCAAGCAUGACUCCGCCCUUGCCCUGCUCGAGUGUAAUUGGAAAAAAAAAACCAUUUCGCGAAAAUCAAAUAGAGAAAAGCAUUUACCAACAAAUCAUUUCCUAAUUAAAACCAAUGCAUUAUGGUUCACAAAGAACUUCCUAGAUGCAUAGAUCCUAGCAAUCAGAAUCUCCCAAUUUUUGCAUCUUGAACUCUUUCUGGUGGCCAGUUUAUUAGAUACUGAAAAAGAUAUGAAAUUCCUAACCUUUCUUUCUCCAGAAAAUUAACUUUAUUGAAAAAGCAUUGAGUUUAUAUCUUCGAAAAAAAACAAAAGAAAGUCCAUAUGCAAUUUCAUCAAGAAAUAUCAAGAUAGCUAUAGGUACCUUUAAUCCUUGAGUGAGGGUUCGGUCUCCAGGGCCAUGAGUCUUAAGCCAUUGAUCUGCGAAAAUAUCAUUUCCAAUGGCAUCCUUGGCAAUGGUACCACCUCCAGUACCUCCCGCCCCAGGUGGGACAAAGAAGGAGGCAUAAGGAACCACCAUGAAACCAGUAGGGAGAGAAAUAGCACCCAGAAGAAGCAGAUUCAUGAGCUGCCUCUUACCCAUAUCAGGAACUCUAUCAUCAGCAGGAAUACUUGUGGCCUGGCAAGUGAUUCUCAUUGAUCUGUCCUUGGUCACCAUGUGAGUUCUCAUUGGCUUUGCAAACAAAGCAUGCGUUGGAGAGAACAUUCUACUCUUGCCAGAGCAUAGCUGUGAAGGAGCUACGGGAGAGAGAGUAGAGGAAGCCAUGGAUAAGAGAAAUUUUUGAUUUUUAGUAGAUUAUAUUAUUGCAGAGAAGGAAUAGGGUCAAAAUAACAACGGCCACUAACUGUAAUAGAUAAGCCAUGCUAGACACCAU